Long non-coding RNA from Hemicordylus capensis (graceful crag lizard), 577 nucleotides. RefSeq lists it as uncharacterized. The transcript has 2 exons. Lineage: Eukaryota; Metazoa; Chordata; Lepidosauria; Squamata; Cordylidae. The record is from RefSeq and is a predicted model, not a curated record.
GCCAUCUUGAGUGGUCAGCAACACCAUGCUGACUAUUCAAGAUGGCAUCUGCACGUGCUCAGACACCAUUUCCUUCCUGACACCGCCCACAGGCUCCUGGGAACAAGGAACUUCCUGUUCCCAAGCAAGAUGCAGCCAGGCAGCCUGGUUUUUCACAAUGGACAGCCCAGCUGCUUAAUAGGAACAGUGCCACAUUGGGGCAGCGGAGGAGCAAGGAAGGGCCAGACAUGUUUGCAGCUGAAAUCCUUGAGGGAUGAAAUCUUCGAGAGGGCACCAGUCCAGGAGGGAAGGAGAAAACAGCUCUCAAAAAGACACUGCGGUCAAGAUACCACACAGAGAGAUUGAUGCAGCUGAGUGAAAGCUUGGCUUGUUAUGGCAUACAUCUGAGGAAAAAUUGAAUUUGUAGCCUGUCAAGCCUACUGAGAGGCGAAAUUAGUAGGCAUGAAUUGUGUCAGCAUCAGUUCAGAAAGCAGGAAACUGAGGAUACCGGACUAUGGGAUAUUCUGAAUGUCUAGUAACCCAAGGACAAACUACUUCAGCAAACCAUAUUAAAAAUACUUUGGCACAUCAAAUUCAA